This 388-nucleotide ribosomal RNA is filed under the name uncultured bacterium. Its description in RNAcentral is "bacterial SSU rRNA". It matches the Rfam family "Bacterial small subunit ribosomal RNA", at positions 30 to 417 of the family's 1533-position model. The record is from RNAcentral.
AUUGAACGCUGGCGGCAUGCCUUACACAUGCAAGUCGAACGGCAGCACGGGAGCAAUCCUGGUGGCGAGUGGCGAACGGGUGAGUAAUAUAUCGGAACGUGCCCAGUCGUGGGGGAUAACGUAGCGAAAGCUACGCUAAUACCGCAUACGAUCUAUGGAUGAAAGCGGGGGAUCGCAAGACCUCGCGCGAUUGGAGCGGCCGAUAUCAGAUUAGGUAGUUGGUGAGGUAAAGGCUCGCCAAGCCGACGAUCUGUAGCUGGUCUGAGAGGACGACCAGCCACACUGGGACUGAGACACGGGCCCAGACUCCUACGGGAGGCAGCAGUGGGGAAUUUUGGACAAUGGGCGCAAGCCUGAUCCAGCAAUGCCGCGUGCAGGAUGAAGGCCU